CCAGGGUUGGGGCUUACAAGGCAGCACUCUGGGUCAUCUCCACCAUCACUUGGGCUCUGUUCCUUCUCACCCUCCUCACUCAGGGCACAGGGUACUGGGCCCAGUCUGCCCUGACUCAGCCUUCCUCGGUGUCUGGGACUUCAGGACAGAUGGUCACCAUCUCCUGUGCUGGAACCAGCAGUGAUGUUGGGUCUGGAAACUAUGUCUCCUGGUACCAACAUAUCC
Vicugna pacos (alpaca) is the source of this 225-nucleotide non-coding RNA. Lineage: Eukaryota; Metazoa; Chordata; Mammalia; Artiodactyla; Camelidae. The record is from RefSeq and is a predicted model, not a curated record.